RNAcentral lists this ribosomal RNA (373 nucleotides) under uncultured bacterium. RNAcentral describes it as "bacterial SSU rRNA". It matches the Rfam family "Bacterial small subunit ribosomal RNA", at positions 28 to 403 of the family's 1533-position model. The record is from RNAcentral.
GACGAACGCUGGCGGCGUGCUUAACACAUGCAAGUCGAGCGGUAAGGCCCUUUCGGGGUACACGAGCGGCGAACGGGUGAGUAACACGUGGGUGACCUGCCCUCAGCUCUGGGAGUAAGCCUGGGAAACCGGGUCUAAUACUGGAUAUGACUCCAUGACGCAUGUUGUGGGGUGGAAAGCCUUGUGCGGCUGAGGAUGGGCCCGCGGCCUAUCAGCUUGUUGGUGGGGUGAUGGCCUACCAAGGCGACGACGGUAGCCGGCCUGAGAGGCGACCGGCCACACUGGGACUGAGACACGGCCCAGACUCCUACGGGAGGGCAGCAGUGGGGAAUCUUGCGCAAUGGGCGAAAGCCUGACGCAGCGACGCCGCGUG